UACAGAGGUCCCGAGCGUUGUUCGGAUUCACUGGGCGUAAAGGGUGCGUAGGCGGCUGGGUAAGUCUGAUGUGAAAUCCCGCAGCUUAACUGCGGAACUGCAUCGGAUACUAUCCAGCUAGAGGAGUGGAGGGGAGACUGGAAUUCUCGGUGUAGCAGUGAAAUGCGUAGAUAUCGAGAGGAACACCAGUGGCGAAGGCGAGUCUCUGGACACCUCCUGACGCUGAGGCACGAAAGCCAGGGGAGCAAACGGG
RNAcentral lists this ribosomal RNA (253 nucleotides) under uncultured bacterium. Its description in RNAcentral is "partial 16S ribosomal RNA". It matches the Rfam family "Bacterial small subunit ribosomal RNA", at positions 524 to 776 of the family's 1533-position model. The record is from RNAcentral.